AUUCAAUUGUUGCUAACUUGAGUUUCUUUUUCUCACUGUAACUAACUGAAAAUGCGACAAACCUUUCAUUCCCAUUCAAGUAGGCCUUAGGAUCAUUCUUCCCCUGAAAGCCUGGUACCUACAAUUUGAAAUCAUGGAGAUCCCCAUCUGUCUCUUCUCAACAACCUUUUUAUCGAUCAUCAACAUCAUCGACACAAGACUUU
This 203-nucleotide long non-coding RNA is filed under the name Carica papaya (papaya). RNAcentral describes it as "long non-coding RNA (CPAP_LNC003450)". Lineage: Eukaryota; Viridiplantae; Streptophyta; Magnoliopsida; Brassicales; Caricaceae. The record is from RNAcentral.